GCUGCCUUGCACUUAGGGAAGGUUCACAUGCCUCAAGGAUCUCUCUCUCUCAGAUUUCUUGACUUUCCCUCAGUCUUCAGUAUAGUCCUCCUCUGUGCCUGGUGAAGACCUGUGGUAAAGUGCUGGCAGAGAGGAAGCUAAAUCACGUAAAAAUUAAGAAACAGCUCAGCGUUUCACAGCUAAGCUGCCGGCUUCCCCUUGAAGGAAUAGGAGUAGACCUGCUGAACUAUCACAUGAGAGAAGAGGCCCAAAAGCUUGCACACUACAGUCAAGCUGGCCCUUAAAGAGAUGGACCUAGAAGAUGCUGAGCCAGAUGUACUCAAUUACUUCUCCAAAAUUCAUCAAUUAGAACUGCUUCUUGCUGCCGCCAUAUGAAGAAGGACGUGUUCGCUUCCCCUUCCUCCAUGAUUGUAAGUUUCCUGAGACCUCGCCAGCCAUGCUGAACUGAAUACAACAUGUUUAAGACCACAGAACAUCUGCAUAGGCUGUAAAUUUCGUUGAAUGAUGGAUGCAAAGAUGGAAGACAGAUGGAUAGAGGAAAAGACAGAAUCAGAUACUGGAUGAGUUAGUACUGCUGCCUGUGCUUCAGAGCUGUCUUAUUACCACAAGGCCGGCAAGCAUCAAUGUCCCCACAUCCCCCUCUGCCUCCCCCUGAAAUGUACCGAUUUAUAUGAAAAUUAAGAUUACAAAUUAAAGCCUGGCUAUCCUGGAGUUUUCCAGUUCAUCAGCCAUCCAAUAAAAAUGAUGUCAAGCCUG
Molecule: long non-coding RNA, 756 nt
Filed under: Homo sapiens (human)
Lineage: Eukaryota; Metazoa; Chordata; Mammalia; Primates; Hominidae
Description: non-protein coding LINC01088:1
Source: RNAcentral